UUCUAAUGUUCAAAUGAAUGUUCCAAACUUCUUUCAGAAGAAAGUUAAAAUCAACAUUAUGUUACCAUGAAGUUUCAUGUCCAUUUUAGUACAACUGCUAAGGGGAUCCUUGAAGAAGCGAUGAAUGAAAACUUACCAAAGAAGUAAAAAACGGACGGCCAUCCGUAUGAACUACCGGCCAGAAGACCACUUAUUGAGUUCGCAAAAACUGUUCCCCACAGAAGACCUGCAUGAGAGGAUCAUGGAUUCAAUUUUAUCAUGUGGAACAAAUGGAAACGUCCCCACUGUUGGAAAAGUUUGAUCCAAACUUCACCACAAUCACAUCAAUAAAUGUUUUUCAUCCGACAAAGAGCAUUCUUGGCGCUGGAAAUUCUAGUGGCAAAAUUUAUAUAUGGUCAGAUUAAAAAUAAUCCUUGUUUUAUUUUAUCCCUUAUUACUCAGGGAGAUUUUUUUACGUAUAGUUAGUUAGAUGAAUGGGUUUUCAAACAAUCCAUUUAUAUUGUUUUCAUCUUUAUGUGGAAAUUAUAAUUUCUUUCAAAGUUAAAUUUCUUCUUAACCACACGGUAUGCAGUGGUUGCCCAGAUAGUGGGGCACAAAGCUGCCACACUUGAUCAACUACGGUGAUCAAAAACUCAACGGCAACAAACAAAACUUCACGGCAAUAAACAAAACUUCACGGCAACAAACAAAAC
Molecule: long non-coding RNA, 692 nt
Organism: Xenia sp. Carnegie-2017
Lineage: Eukaryota; Metazoa; Cnidaria; Anthozoa; Malacalcyonacea; Xeniidae
Exons: 3
Source: RefSeq, a predicted model, not a curated record